ACCUAUAACUAUUGUCGUUACUCCUCCUCUGGCAAGGUUUUUGGCUAGGAGAGGGAUUAUCAAGAAUGGUGUAUGAUUCUUGAUUUGUAUUUUUUUUUAGGGGCUGUUUUACCUCUUUGCUUCUCUAUUUAGUACGUUUUCUAAUUGUUAAUGUUGAACGGUAUAGAAAAGGAGAGGAAAUUUGGAAUAAGUUUAUAAAAUUUGAAGUGGG
Molecule: long non-coding RNA, 211 nt
Filed under: Populus tremula
Lineage: Eukaryota; Viridiplantae; Streptophyta; Magnoliopsida; Malpighiales; Salicaceae
Description: long non-coding RNA (PTRE_LNC002177)
Source: RNAcentral